AACACCAAGAUAUUAGCACAGAAAUAGGAAAAACCAUCACUGGACUAAUAGGACAAAUCUAUUCUUUUUCUUCAGAUAAAUUCAAGUAAAAUAAUGUUUAAUAAUGCAGAAUGUACAGAAUUACCUCAUUAUACUGGAAGUAUUUCUGUCAAUCUAUUACAUGUACACAUGUAUAUAUACAUACGUACACAACAUCUGUAAUGAGGACCAUCUAAUGUUAAAGCUAGUUGUUUCUGAUUAGUUGGUAUAUUGUUUUCCUAGAGCACCACAAACUGAUGGCAUAAAACAACAGAAACUUAUUCACUUGCAGCUCUGGGGUCCAGCAGUCCAAAAUCAAGAUGCGACAAGGUUGGUUCUUUUGGAGGCUUUGAGGGAGGAUCUGUUCCAUGCCCCUGUCAUACCUUCUGGUGGUUGCGGAUGCUCCCUGACCUUCACAAAGCCCCUCGUGGGAAUCCUCCCCUCUGCCCACGUCUGAACAGAUGCCCCUUUUUCACUUUAGAGUGGAAUCUUCAUAAGGGCAAGAAUUUUCACCUGUUUUGUUCAGCGCUGCAUCCCCAAUGCCUCGGACAGAGCUGCUGAGAAAAGCAGAAAAGAAGAUUGUGGAAACCACCGUAGAAACAGAAAAUUUGAACGUCUCCUUCAUGGACGGCUAGAGCAGCUCUCGGGUCUAUGGAACAGUUCCCCUGUCAGUCGUGCAAGCGUGAAUCUGCUGUUGCACUGACCAGUGAACUGUGAAUCCAAAACAGAAGAAAGAAAGUGAGGAGGCCCCUGAGGAAGCCAUGUGGAUGAGUAGCCCUGUAACCUAAGAGUCUACCUCUGGACACAGGUUAAACCGGCAGAAGCAAAGGGUCUCUGUUUUCCUGAAGUGUGACACCUCCUACAUGGAAACGAGGGCAGGAUAAACUGGGGCAUCUGAAGUGACCUCUUCCGGGCAGGAUGUGGAAGUGUGAUGCGUCUCCUUGAGCAAGACCUUCCAAAAUGCUUAAUCUAAGGUGAUAAACGUAUUUCUGACAGAAACCUGUAUUUCAUCUUU
Molecule: long non-coding RNA, 1033 nt
Organism: Aethalodelphis obliquidens (Pacific white-sided dolphin)
Lineage: Eukaryota; Metazoa; Chordata; Mammalia; Artiodactyla; Delphinidae
Exons: 7
Source: RefSeq, a predicted model, not a curated record